ACACAACUACUCAUUAUACUAGUCAUUUUCAUCUGAGUAGAGGGUCCUGCAGGACAAAAUAGCAACAAGGAGGAAAGGAAAGUAAAGUACAGAAACGUGAAGCAACCUCAGUCACCCAGCUGCCAUAAAAACAAAUGCCUUUCUGACCUUCCCAUGAAGCCAAUCCAUGAAGCCAAGAACUCUGUGAGAGGUAUUUUCCUUGGUCCAGGAGAAGCAUACAGAGACUCAGAGAAGCCUUUGAGCAAUCAGGCCUCGUCAAGGCCAGUUUACUACCAUGAGAUCACAGUCUCUUGUGUAAUUCUAUUUCACAAUAACUGUCCAGUCUCUAUCUAAAC
Molecule: long non-coding RNA, 335 nt
Organism: Dipodomys spectabilis (banner-tailed kangaroo rat)
Lineage: Eukaryota; Metazoa; Chordata; Mammalia; Rodentia; Heteromyidae
Exons: 3
Source: RefSeq, a predicted model, not a curated record